Molecule: long non-coding RNA, 1042 nt
Organism: Arachis duranensis
Lineage: Eukaryota; Viridiplantae; Streptophyta; Magnoliopsida; Fabales; Fabaceae
Exons: 2
Source: RefSeq, a predicted model, not a curated record
UUCACUCACCUUUACCCACAUUAACACACACGCCGCACUCACCUCACCCCUCACCCACCUUCCACUGUAACACACACAUGGGAAAAGAAAAGAGAGAAAGGAAGGAAGAAGAAAGAAGGAGGGGCAAGGAGGGAGACGGCGCCGGUGCUGCCGUGGCCGUCGCUGUCACUAAGAGGGAGAGAGAGAGAGUUCACGGAGAAGAGAGAGGGAGACACACGGAGAGAACCACCGCGAGGAGAGGAAGAAGCUGCCUCGCCGCCAAGCCGCUACCGUCGAGGAUCCCGUCCACGUCACCAUCGCCGAGGAGAAGUCGCUAUCAUCGCCGUCCUCAUUGCGAGCUGUCGCCGUCGUCGUAGAAUCCAUCGCCGCCGCCGAAGCUUCAAAGUCACCGCCGUCGCAAUGAUGGAGGCCCAAGGAGAGAGAGACGAACCAAGAGUCCAACGGGAGAGAGAAUUGGAUGCUUCGCGGGAGCUCUGUCACUGCCCAGCCAUCACCGUCGCUGCGGGUUGCAUCGCCGAGCCUCGGUCGCCGGGAUUAACUGCCAGUAAUGGUGUUCUUGCUUCUAGUUUUCAUUCUUUUGAAUUUUUGGAACCUUGUUGUCACUGCAUGGCUGUUACAGUUGCCGUCAUCGGCAUUUUUGGUUGCCGCAGUCACUUGAGGUAGCUGUUGGAGCUGCUGCCGGGUUAGUUCGAAGUUGUUGCUGCUUCAUUCUGUUGUUACGGUAAGUGUAUUUUAUUCCAGACCGUCGCAGUUAGUGUUCAAUUAUAACUUGUUAAAGAAUUUAAGGUAUCGGAUGUCGUAGGGUUGUGUACUAUUGUUGCAUUCUGUGUUUGUGGCUGCUGGAAUUGCUGCCAUAGCAUUCUUAGUUGUUCCUCAUGAUAUGUUGUUGCUGUGAUCAUUGCGGUUGCUUGGAGAUCAUUGAGGUUGUUGCCGCUGUUGAGAAUCAACGAUAAUAAAGGGUUUAUUGUAUUAAAAAUGCUGCGGACUUGAUUCCUCGUGGUAUGGGAUUAUUUUAAAAUAAAAUUGCUUUGGACUUUGAAUA